AUAAGGCCCAGUGCAGCAUUCUUAUCUCCAGGACUUAAAUUUGGGGAAAAAAGGAAGGAUUCUGGACGAACUUUUUUCUACCUGACAGUGCUGUAGAGCUGUCCUUGGCCCUCCUGUAAUUCCAUCUGCUCAGUUUGAGAGAGUGCUGCCCUUGGAACCAGGAUGGACUGGCGGAUGGAUGCUCAGGAAAACAGAUGAUGGUUGGGCUGGGACAACAAAGCACUUGGCUCCAAAUGGAGUCAGAAAUGUCAGCUCCACUUGGUCUUUGGCAAAGAUAUCCCCACAUGUUCUCCAGGAGAUCUGCUCUCAGAGUAGGAAAGGCUUUCCACAGUAAACACCCCCAAGGACCUAGGGAGCCACCUGUGCCAGCUGUAUGACCACAGGCCUUUGGUCUUCCUGGGAGGGAUGUGGGCUGGGCUCAGGAAGCUUGUGGUUUAUAAAGAAACAGAAACCCUGCCCUGAGCAGAGCACUCCAGCUGCCGCCACAAUGAAGGGAGCACUGCUUGUGCUGGCCUUGCUGGUGACCAGAGAGCUGACCUUUGAGACUCGUGAGGCCGAAGCCUGCCCUAUUUUUUAUCGAGUCCUUACCACUGUAGCCCUUGCAUUACCACCGCCAUUGUUGAACAAAACCCUCGAUUUGGUUGAAGCUACUGAUGCAGAAAAAGUAGCACUAGAAAAAAAUCCAGGAUUGCUUCGCUGAGAAUGGACUUGUGAACAGGUUGAAACAUCUGAGAAUCACGCUUUCCAUCAUCUUCAGUAAAGAUUGCACUGUCUAUAAGUUGCCCUCAGUGGUGAACACUGGUUUAGGAUUAGCUCUCAGUGUGACAUCUUUGCUGAGAUAAUCUUUGCCAGGGAUGCCAGCCUGCACUCGCACUUCCUACCCUGUUUUCCUUCUCAUCUGAAGCUGGAAUCCAGACACCUGUCCCACCUGAUGUGUCCUGUAUCAGUCUGACUCUAAUAAAAUAACUGCAGCAUUGCUCAGUGUGCCCAGU
Long non-coding RNA from Bubalus bubalis (water buffalo), 992 nucleotides. RefSeq lists it as uncharacterized. The record is from RefSeq and is a predicted model, not a curated record. The transcript is spliced from 3 exons. Lineage: Eukaryota; Metazoa; Chordata; Mammalia; Artiodactyla; Bovidae.